GUAGUCUCGCACAGAUGCAUAUCAAUAAGCGGAGGAAAAGAAACUAACAAGGAUUCCCUUAGUAACGGCGAGUGAAGCGGGAAGAGCUCAAAUUUGAAAUCUUCAAGGUUUUACCUUGACGAAUUGUAGUUUAAAGAAGUGUUUUCUGUUGAAGUUUUGGUAAAAGUUCUUUGGAAUAGGACAUCAUAGAGGGUGAGAAUCCCGUAUUUGACCAUUAUUUUCAGCUGUGUGAUACACUUUCAAAGAGUCGGAUUGUUUGGGAAUGCAGUCCAAAAUGGGUGGUAAAUUUCAUCUAAAGCUAAAUAUUGGCGAGAGACCGAUAGCGAACAAGUACCGUGAGGGAAAGAUGAAAAGAACUUUGAAAAGAGAGUUAAACAGUACGUGAAAUUGUCAAAAGGGAAGCGUUUGACACCAGUGUUGUUUUCUCGAAAAUCAAUUAAAAAGAGUUUGAUUUUGUUGUGUAUUGACCUUAACAGCUUGCAUUUCAAUUUUCUUGCUUUUUUUAAUGCACUUUUCGUUUAACAAGUCAACAUCAGUUUCUUUUGCUGUAAAAAGGUCAUUGGAAGGUGGCUUUCUUUUCGGAGAAAGUGUUUAUAGCCUUUGACUCCUGCAAUCGGAGAGACUGAGGUCUGCAGCGUAGAUCCUUCGGGGUUAAAUAGCAUUUGUGCUAAGUCAUAGCAUUUUAUAGACAACUUGUUGACUAUGAUUAGUCUUGUAGCUUACUCGCUUAUGCUAUUUUACCUACGCUUAGGAUGUUGAGCGCAUGUCUCUCUCU
This 775-nucleotide ribosomal RNA is filed under the name uncultured Neocallimastigales. Its description in RNAcentral is "partial large subunit ribosomal RNA". It matches the Rfam family "Eukaryotic large subunit ribosomal RNA", at positions 24 to 616 of the family's 3401-position model. The record is from RNAcentral. Lineage: Eukaryota; Fungi; Neocallimastigomycota; Neocallimastigomycetes; Neocallimastigales.